RNAcentral lists this long non-coding RNA (1442 nucleotides) under Homo sapiens (human). RNAcentral's name for it is "HSALNT0255583". The record is from RNAcentral. Lineage: Eukaryota; Metazoa; Chordata; Mammalia; Primates; Hominidae.
CAGUUUCCGCGCAGCCGACAACGGUUGGACCCCGUCCCUCCGGCUUCACUGGGCACCGUGGGGGCAGAACCCGGCGGCGGCUUGGGGUGGGGGCGGGACCACGAUGGAGGGAGUCUGUUGGGCGGGACCUCGAAAUGCCUCUGCUCGCUUUCCUCUGCAUUCAUGCGGCUUGUACGAGGAUGCGCUGUUUCCUGGUGGUUUGUUAUACGGCAGUAGAUAACUGAUACAUCUCUCUUCACUACUUUGUUUGCGUUUUUAUAGGUCAGGGUCUUCCUCUGUCGCACAGGCUGGAGUGCAGUGGCUCGAUCACGGCUCACGGAAACCUCCAAUCCCUGGGCUCAAGCGAUCUUCCCUCAAAUUCAACAGUAGCUGGAACUACAGGCUCGUGACACCACAGCAGGCUAAUUUUUAAAUUUUUCGUGGAGAUGGGAGGUCACACUAUAUUGCCCAGGCUGGUCGCGAACUCCUGAGCUCAAGCGAUCUUCCCUCUUUGGCGUCCCAAAGAGCUGAGAUUGCAGGAGUUAACCUCACCGAAAGAUACAACCGAUUUAAGAAGAAAAUGUUAAAACUCUCUUCAAGGGCCUAUAGAAGAAACGGGAUGAAUGGAAACGUGAUUCACUCUGUGGACUGGCAGAUACCUCUGGAAAUCUGGUGUUCUAUUGUAAUAAGUUCUCGGGAAGGUAGAGACUUUUAUUUGGGACAUAGAGGCUUGGCCAACCAGAAUGGAGGACCCACCCAAGUCCCGCCCCCAAGCCUGAGCCCUCUCCUUUGCUCCACCCACUCUGCCUGAAGUCCCCUCAACCCCUCCGACUUCGCAGUCUCCCAGCCCGGCCUUCUGGGGCUGGUCUUCAUUGGAAGCCACGCCCCCAGGUCUGUCGGAUAAACAUUUUACAACCUAUUCUCUCUGAAGUCUAGUACCUGGAGGCUUCCUCUGGAAAUAAGAACUUGGGUCUCCCGCCUGGCCAACAUGACGAAACCCCGUCUCUACUAGAAAUACAAAAAUUAGCCGGUCGUGGUGGCACACACCUGUAAUCCUAGCUACUCAGGAGGCUGCGGCAGGAGAAUUGCUGGAACCCGGUAGGCGCAGGUUACAGUGAGCUGAGGUCGUGCCACUGCACUCCAGCCUGGGCGACAGAGCGAGACUGCGUCUCCGAAAAAAAAAAAAAAAAAAAUUAGCCGGGCAUGGUGGCGGGCGCCUGUAAUCCCAGCUAUUCUGGUGGCUGAGCCAGGAGAAUCGCUUGAACCCGGGAGGUGGAGGUUGCAGUGAGCCGAGAUGGUGCCAUUGCACUCCAGGCUGGGCAACAAGAGCGAGACUCCAUCUCAAAAAAGAAAAAAGAAAAAAAAAAAAAAGAACUUGGGUCUCCACAACCUCAAGCCUCCUCUCAAAAAAAGAAAAAAAGUUUUAAUCUCCCUAUAAGCUGGAAUCCCCACUCCCACCCCAC